RNAcentral lists this ribosomal RNA (446 nucleotides) under uncultured bacterium. Its description in RNAcentral is "partial 16S ribosomal RNA". It matches the Rfam family "Bacterial small subunit ribosomal RNA", at positions 338 to 795 of the family's 1533-position model. The record is from RNAcentral.
CCUACGGGUGGCAGCAGUCGAGAAUUAUUCACAAUGGGGGAAACCCUGAUGGUGCGACGCCGCGUGGGGGAAUGAAGGUCUUCGGAUUGUAAACCCCUGUCAUGUGGGAGCAAAUUAAAAAGAUAGUACCACAAGAGGAAGAGACGGCUAACUCUGUGCCAGCAGCCGCGGUAAUACAGAGGUCUCAAGCGUUGUUCGGAAUCACUGGGCGUAAGGCGUGCGUAGGCUGUUUCGUAAGUCGUGAGUGAAAGGCGCGGGCUCAACCCGCGGACGGCACAUGAUACUGCGAGACUAGAGUAAUGGAGGGGGGACCGGAAUUCUCGGUGUAGCAGUGAAAUGCGUAGAUAUCGAGAGGAACACUCGUGGCGAAGGCGGGUUCCUGGACAUUAACUGACGCUGAGGCACGAAGGCCAGGGGAGCGAAAGGGAUUAGAUACCCGGGUAGUC